CCAGGUUGAUUCUGCCUGACGUAGACGCUAUUCCCUAAGAUUAACCCAUGCAUGUUAUUGAUUUUUGAAAGAUGGACUGCUCAGUAAUACUCACUUUAUUUUAUGUAUACUUAUUAUAACUACGUUAAAGUGUAGAUAAAAUGUAUACAGUAAGAGUGAGACCUAUCAGCUAGUUGUUAAGGUAAUGGCUUAACAAGGCAGUGACGGGUAACGGUAUUACUUUGUAAUAUUCCGGAGAAGGAGCCUGAGAGACGGCUACUAAGUCUAAGGAUUGCAGCAGGGGCGAAACUUGACCUAUGGAUUUUAUCUGAGGCAGUUAUGGGAAGUAAUAUUAUAUUGUUUCAUAUUUUAAAAGUAUAUGAGGUGAUUAAUUGGAGGGCAAAUCAAGUGCCAGCAGCCGCGGUAAUACUUGUUCCAAGAGUGUGUAUGAUGAUUGAUGCAGUUAAAAAGUCCGUAGUUUAUUUUUAAGAAGCAAUAUGAGGUGUACUGUAUAGUUGGGAGAGAGAUGAAAUGUGACGACCCUGACUGGACGAACA
RNAcentral lists this ribosomal RNA (536 nucleotides) under Nosema sp. C PSH-2011. Its description in RNAcentral is "SSU rRNA". It matches the Rfam family "Microsporidia small subunit ribosomal RNA", at positions 1 to 594 of the family's 1311-position model. Lineage: Eukaryota; Fungi; Microsporidia; Nosematidae. The record is from RNAcentral.